UGCGUAGGCGGUUUGGCAAGUUGGUAGCGUAAUUCCGGGGCUCAACUCCGGAACUACUACCAAAACUGCUAGGCUUGAGUGCGGCAGGGGUAUGUGGAAUUCCUAGUGUAGCGGUGGAAUGCGUAGAUAUUAGGAGGAACACCAGAGGCGAAAGCGACAUACUGGGCCGUAACUGACGCUGAGGCACGAAAGCGUGGGGAGCAAACA
RNAcentral lists this ribosomal RNA (207 nucleotides) under uncultured bacterium. RNAcentral's name for it is "partial 16S ribosomal RNA". It matches the Rfam family "Bacterial small subunit ribosomal RNA", at positions 568 to 774 of the family's 1533-position model. The record is from RNAcentral.